RNAcentral lists this transfer RNA (76 nucleotides) under Deltaproteobacteria bacterium. RNAcentral's name for it is "tRNA-Ala". It matches the Rfam family "tRNA". Rfam says of the family: Transfer RNA (tRNA) molecules are approximately 80 nucleotides in length. Their secondary structure includes four short double-helical elements and three loops (D, anti-codon, and T loops). Further hydrogen bonds mediate the characteristic L-shaped molecular structure. tRNAs have two regions of fundamental functional importance: the anti-codon, which is responsible for specific mRNA codon recognition, and the 3' end, to which the tRNAs corresponding amino acid is attached (by aminoacyl-tRNA synthetases). tRNAs cope with the degeneracy of the genetic code in two manners: having more than one tRNA (with a specific anti-codon) for a particular amino acid; and 'wobble' base-pairing, i.e. permitting non-standard base-pairing at the 3rd anti-codon position. The record is from RNAcentral. RNAcentral also lists the same sequence under 1 other name. Lineage: Bacteria; Pseudomonadati; Myxococcota; Myxococcia.
GGGGCCGUAGCUCAGCUGGGAGAGCGCUUGACUGGCAGUCAAGAGGUCGGGAGUUCGAUCCUCCUCGGCUCCACCA